RNAcentral lists this small nuclear RNA (140 nucleotides) under Microcebus murinus (gray mouse lemur). RNAcentral describes it as "U4 spliceosomal RNA (ENSMICG00000045322.1)". It matches the Rfam family "U4 spliceosomal RNA". From Rfam's summary of the family: U4 small nuclear RNA (U4 snRNA) is a component of the major U2-dependent spliceosome. The structure of U4 snRNA from yeast and human has been reported. U4 snRNA presents a k-turn RNA motif in the 5p-SL related to recognition of Snu13 protein. The record is from Rfam by way of RNAcentral. Lineage: Eukaryota; Metazoa; Chordata; Mammalia; Primates; Cheirogaleidae.
AUCUUUAUACAGUCACAGUAUUGUAGCCAAUGAGGUUUAUCUGAGGCGUGAUUAUUGCUAAUUGAAAACUUUUCCCAGUACCCGCUGUGAUGACUUAUGAUAUAGUCUGCAUUGGGAAUUUUUGACAGUCUCUAUGGAGA